Molecule: long non-coding RNA, 541 nt
Filed under: Monodelphis domestica (gray short-tailed opossum)
Lineage: Eukaryota; Metazoa; Chordata; Mammalia; Didelphimorphia; Didelphidae
Description: lncRNA (ENSMODG00000033566.2)
Source: RNAcentral
UAGCCAAGGUCAAGCAGGCUGUAACUAAGGGAACAUUUGAACCCAAGUUCUCUGACUUCAGAGCCUAUGCUCUUCCAUUCUACUAGCUCCCUCUGUUGCUAUCCAAGUCAUGAAUCCAGGCAACAUAACAUUCUUUGGUUGAUCAUACCAAACAUCCAAGACAGGGUCAGAGUCAACCUAGGCCAGAUCACAGUAGACCCAGACUCUUAGUGAGAGAGAGCAGGACCUCCAACAACAAGUGGAUGAGUGGAAGAGAGGGACCAAAUGAGGCAUAACAGUCUGUUGACUUUUGGGAAAUCCAACACACUGAUGACAGCAGCCACAUGAAUAGACUUGAGACACAAACAUCUAAAUUCCCAUGUUGGUCUCAACUUAAUCUUGGAAGAUGGGAAAAAAGGCAACCUAGGAACCAGGAUCAGGAAAGGAAAAUGGAUUUACUUGUCACUUCUUGCAUUGCAAAAAUAUUCCAUUCCAUUCAUAUGCCACAAUUUAUUCCACCAUCCCCUAUGCCUGAGAAUUUUAUUUCUUUGCUAUUACAAAU